Molecule: small nucleolar RNA, 108 nt
Organism: Rhododendron vialii
Lineage: Eukaryota; Viridiplantae; Streptophyta; Magnoliopsida; Ericales; Ericaceae
Product: small nucleolar RNA snoR100
Exons: 1
Source: RefSeq, a predicted model, not a curated record
CAAUGAAGGAAGUAUGGCAAUGUACACGUAAAUUAAUUUGGGUCUCUAGGUAUGCCCUCUCUGAUGCCAUUUGGCUUUGAUUUAGGGGCAUCGUUCUGCAGCAAAACA